GACGAACGCUGGCGGCGUGCCUAACACAUGCAAGUCGAACGGAAAGGCCCUGCUUUUGUGGGGUGCUCGAGUGGCGAACGGGUGAGUAACACGUGAGUAACCCGCCCUUGACUUUGGGAUAACUUCAGGAAACUGGGGCUAAUACCGGAUAGGAGCUCCUGCUGCAUGGUGGGGGUUGGAAAGUUUCGGCGGUUGGGGAUGGACUCGCGGCUUAUGAGCUUGUUGGUGGGGUAGUGGCUUACCAAGGCUUUGACGGGUAGCCGGCCUGAGAGGGUGAACAGCCACAAUGGGACUGAGAGACGGCGCAGACUGGUACGGGAGGCAGCAGUGGGGAAUAUUGCACAGUGGGCGGAAGCGUGAGGCGGAAGCGCCGCGUGCGGGAUGACGGCCUUCGGGUUGUGAACCGCUGUCGCCUGUGACGAAGCGGGAGUGACGGUAAUGGAUAAAGAAGCACCGGCUAACUACGUG
Molecule: ribosomal RNA, 468 nt
Filed under: uncultured bacterium
Lineage: Bacteria
Description: partial 16S ribosomal RNA
Rfam family: Bacterial small subunit ribosomal RNA
Source: RNAcentral